Molecule: ribosomal RNA, 465 nt
Filed under: Vreelandella stevensii
Lineage: Bacteria; Pseudomonadati; Pseudomonadota; Gammaproteobacteria; Oceanospirillales; Halomonadaceae
Description: partial 16S ribosomal RNA
Rfam family: Bacterial small subunit ribosomal RNA
Source: RNAcentral
CCUACGGGGGGCAGCAGUGGGGAAUAUUGGACAAUGGGGGCAACCCUGAUCCAGCCAUGCCGCGUGUGUGAAGAAGGCCCUCGGGUUGUAAAGCACUUUCAGUGAGGAAGAACGCCUGGUGGUUAAUACCCAUCAGGAAAGACAUCACUCACAGAAGAAGCACCGGCUAACUCCGUGCCAGCAGCCGCGGUAAUACGGAGGGUGCGAGCGUUAAUCGGAAUUACUGGGCGUAAAGCGCGCGUAGGUGGCUUGAUAAGCCGGUUGUGAAAGCCCCGGGCUCAACCUGGGAACGGCAUCCGGAACUGUCAAGCUAGAGUGCAGGAGAGGAAGGUAGAAUUCCCGGUGUAGCGGUGAAAUGCGUAGAGAUCGGGAGGAAUACCAGUGGCGAAGGCGGCCUUCUGGGCUGACACUGACACUGAGGUGCGAAAGCGUGGGUAGCAAACAGGAUUAGAUACCCCAGUAGUC